GACGAACGCUGGCGGCGUGCUUAACACAUGCAAGUCGAACAGAAAGGCCCCUUUAGGGGUACUCGAGUGGCGCACGGGUGAGUAACACGUGAGUAACCUGCCCUUGACUUCGUGAUAACUUCAGUAAACUGGGGCUACUACCGGAUAGGAAUCCUUGCUGCAUGGUGGGGGUUGGAAAGCUUCUGCGGUGUUGGAUGGACUCGCGGCUUAUCAGCUUGUUGGUGGGGUAGUGGCUUACCAAGGCUUUGAGGGGUAGCCGGCCUGCGAGGGCGAGCGGCCACAUUGGGACUGAGAUACGGCCCAGACGCCGAAGGGAGGCAGCAGUGGGGAAUAUUGCACAAUGGGCGGAAGCCUGAUGCAGCAGCGCCGCGGGUGGGAUGACGGUUUUCGGGUUGUAAAACGGUUUCAGCAGGGGCGAAGCUUGUGGUGACGGUACCUGCAGAAGAAGCACCGGCUAACUACGUG
RNAcentral lists this ribosomal RNA (465 nucleotides) under uncultured bacterium. Its description in RNAcentral is "partial 16S ribosomal RNA". It matches the Rfam family "Bacterial small subunit ribosomal RNA", at positions 28 to 507 of the family's 1533-position model. The record is from RNAcentral.